UAUAGCCAAGUUAUAUAGCUAAUGUACACAUACACAGUAGGAAGCCAGAUUUUAUUUGUUGAUCGACUCACAGAAGGCAAAGCUAAGUUUUAUUUGGAAGGGUUCAACAGGGAAGCAACGAAUAAGCAAUGGAUGACGGCCGAGUUAGUGAAGCAAUAUCGAAUGCACACGCCCAGGCAAUGUUGAAUGUUUCGCAAUGUUUAACAGAUGCUCAAACGGAGGAAUUCAAGACUUUGCUGACUACAAAGAGACCGAACUACGUUCGGAGAUUAGACGGAAAAAAAACCUUUCUAGAAAUCGCGAGUAUUCUAUUAAGUGGGAAAAUAAUAGAGUACGGUCAAUACAGUGAGUUAAGAAAUAUGUUUGUCCAAAUAGGGCGGAAAGACCUGGUUGACAAGCUGACCGCCGCCGAGAAGCAAAUCGCCGAUAUGUAAAAAAACGGAUGGUAAGAGAAAGCGCUCGGCGGGUCUUGCGAUUGCCGUGCAAAAAAUAUCUUGUUCUAAUAAUUGACGACGAGGCCAGGACAAUCAAUCCAACAAGACAUACCUUUUUUCAAAGAAGUAAUGACACUUGUGACUAUAAAUGGAAUACAUGUAUGAUAAUAAAAUAACAACAAGACUAAUGGAUAUGGACGACGAACGGAUUUAAACAUCUUUAUAAUGGCAAAAAUGAAAUACCGUCCAUAAGGGAGAGUUAUCCAUAUGUGCAAUAUUGGUGUAAUCCGGAUAGGUGUGGCACGGUUGACUAAGGAAAGAAGCAACACUCAACACUGUCUAUGAAAAUAAUGGUCAUUUGGUUUAUUACAGAAGUAUACACAUAUUAACAGUAGGAAGGUGCACUGUAUUUGAAUAGGUUAAGUACAAAACGACAACAAGCUUCACCCCUUCCGUUUGUCAAAAUUACAUUAAGAGGAAUGAAUAUGUCAGACAAUACAUCUUCCAUGUACAUGUACAUUGAACAGUUAUACAAAUACCGAAUACGAGAAUAUCGUCAUUUCAAAACGUCCGUGACACACAGCACACCUUACCAUUUUAGUUGUGUACUAUAUGUUACACAAGUUAGUAAAACCACCUUCCGUUUGUAACAUGAAAUAACAUAACCCGCUGCUUUCAAUAUCAACCUCUCCGCCUCGAAAUCCCAGGAUAUGGUUUUCGAUCACGAACGUAACACUGCAUGAUUCGAGCAAAUUCACCUUUAGCAUUAUUUAGUGGAAACGGACUCUAAGACCGGUGUAAUGUUUUUGAGUGUUUCCGUUGCUCCCUUACUCAUUGUUUGAGAAGGCUAAAAGGUAGAUUGACACGUUGCGCUUUGUUUCCACGUUCCGAUAUGCUUGAUGUCUACUUUGGAGAAUGGUUUGUGACGUUACCGGCGUUCACAUCUCCAGACAAUGGUUCCUGAUCUUCACAGAAGAUGGCAUGCAGGUCUCGUCGGGCGCAAGUGAAGACGACAACACAAACAGGUUCUUCCGCAAUCAUUGGGUAAGGAAAUACUCAUGAUAACUACAGACGACUGAUUUACUCAAGACAACAACGAAAUCAACGGUCAACCUGAAUGGUAACGAAAAUGUCAAACAUCAGCAGACAAAAGAGAACACAUCUGGUACAAUAUUCUUGAACCGUCUUGCAGUGCAUCUUUGUUGCGAAGCCAGAGGUGGUGACCGUCACUUUCAUCACACCGGCUUUCGAGAUUACGGGACUCCCUCACGGUGUAAAAUUCCUCUGUAUAUUUUUACACACAGAAUUUCUCUCUGGAGACAGAAUAGGCAUCAAAUUUUCAUUGAUGAAUAAAUGACACAAUAACAUACAUGAUUGGCGCAAAAAUAUCCUUAUGUCGUUAUUAUGGUGGCCGUAAGUAGUAUUUUUGCAUUGCGUACUGUACAUUCGAGCAUUGUAGUUCAUUGGUGGCGUACGUGUGGAGAAAGAAAAGGUACCCAACGUAGCCAACGGACACCACCUGGGACCUUAUAUCAAGGCUUAUUCUACUCGUCUGGCAAGAAGCGUAUGGAUUACAACUAAAAGAGUUUCUAAAUCGGUACCUUUUUGCAAGCCACAUUGACACCGUUUCCUCUGAAGGUCUAGGUUUCCACUGAGUGUGAUUGCGAGAACUCACCCGCCACUACUUUCAGAUGUUAUGCUUCACUACUAGCAGACCAAACCAA
Lineus longissimus is the source of this 2158-nucleotide long non-coding RNA. RefSeq lists it as uncharacterized. The record is from RefSeq and is a predicted model, not a curated record. NCBI's taxonomy places the organism in Eukaryota, Metazoa, Nemertea, Pilidiophora, Heteronemertea, Lineidae. The transcript has 3 exons.